The sequence is a small nucleolar RNA, 90 nucleotides long. It matches the Rfam family "A. fumigatus snoRNA Afu_190". The record is from Rfam.
ACAAGAUGAGAUAUUCAGCUGGCACCAGUCCUAGAAGACUUGUACUCUUCUGCUGCGGAUUAAGCUUGCACUUACAUGUGCACCUCUGAU